Molecule: ribosomal RNA, 327 nt
Filed under: uncultured eukaryote
Lineage: Eukaryota
Description: partial 18S ribosomal RNA
Rfam family: Eukaryotic small subunit ribosomal RNA
Source: RNAcentral
CCCUUAGAUGUUCUGGGCCGCACGCGCGCUACACUGAUUCAUGCAACAAGUUUUGUCCUUGGCUGAUAGGCCUGGGUAAUCUUUGAACGUGAAUCGUGAUGGGGAUAGAUGAUUGCAAUUAUUCAUCUUCAACGAGGAAUUCCUAGUAAACGCAAGUCAUCAGCUUGCAUUGAUUACGUCCCUGCCCUUUGUACACACCGCCCGUCGCACCUACCGAUUGAAUGGUCCGGUGAAAUCUUCGGAUCUGAGAGAUGUCUGAUUAAUUUCGGACGUCUUUUGGAAAAGUUGCUUAAACCUUACCAUUUAGAGGAAGGUGAAGUCGUAACA